CUUUUUCUUAAAACUCGUGUUUCCUCCCUUAGGUCAUGAAUUAGUGAACGGAGGGAGUAUUUCAUUUAAAACACAUUUACAUGCAAAAAAUAAAAUAAUCUAUGCAAAAAAAAGAAAAAAAGAAAAAAAAUCAUAAGUUAUCACAAAUUAUUAUUAUUAUUAUUAUUAUUAGUUAAAGAAACAUCCUUUUAUAUUGUGGCAG
This 202-nucleotide long non-coding RNA is filed under the name Salvia miltiorrhiza (redroot sage). RNAcentral's name for it is "long non-coding RNA (SMIL_LNC014384)". Lineage: Eukaryota; Viridiplantae; Streptophyta; Magnoliopsida; Lamiales; Lamiaceae. The record is from RNAcentral.